Molecule: ribosomal RNA, 1347 nt
Filed under: Cellulomonas terrae
Lineage: Bacteria; Bacillati; Actinomycetota; Actinomycetes; Micrococcales; Cellulomonadaceae
Description: bacterial SSU rRNA
Rfam family: Bacterial small subunit ribosomal RNA
Source: RNAcentral
UCAGUCGGACGGUGACGACCAGAUUGCUGGUCUGAUCAGUGGCGAACGGGUGAGUAACACGUGAGCAACCUGCCCUUCACUCUGGGAUAAGCCUUGGAAACGAGGUCUAAUACCGGAUAUGAGACGCACCGGCAUCGGUAGCGUCUGGAAAGAUUUAUCGGUGAGGGAUGGGCUCGCGGCCUAUCAGCUUGUUGGUGGGGUGAUGGCCUACCAAGGCGACGACGGGUAGCCGGCCUGAGAGGGCGACCGGCCACACUGGGACUGAGACACGGCCCAGACUCCUACGGGAGGCAGCAGUGGGGAAUAUUGCACAAUGGGCGCAAGCCUGAUGCAGCGACGCCGCGUGAGGGAUGACGGCCUUCGGGUUGUAAACCUCUUUCAGCAGGGAAGAAGCGCAAGUGACGGUACCUGCAGAAGAAGCGCCGGCUAACUACGUGCCAGCAGCCGCGGUAAUACGUAGGGCGCAAGCGUUGUCCGGAAUUAUUGGGCGUAAAGAGCUCGUAGGCGGUUUGUCGCGUCUGCUGUGAAAUCCUCAGGCUCAACCUGGGGCUUGCAGUGGGUACGGGCAGACUAGAGUGCGGUAGGGGUGACUGGAAUUCCUGGUGUAGCGGUGGAAUGCGCAGAUAUCAGGAGGAACACCGAUGGCGAAGGCAGGUCACUGGGCCGCAACUGACGCUGAGGAGCGAAAGCAUGGGGAGCGAACAGGAUUAGAUACCCUGGUAGUCCAUGCCGUAAACGUUGGGCACUAGGUGUGGGGCUCAUUCCACGAGUUCCGUGCCGCAGCAAACGCAUUAAGUGCCCCGCCUGGGGAGUACGGCCGCAAGGCUAAAACUCAAAGAAAUUGACGGGGGCCCGCACAAGCGGCGGAGCAUGCGGAUUAAUUCGAUGCAACGCGAAGAACCUUACCAAGGCUUGACAUGCACCGGUAACACUCAGAGAUGGGUGCCCCGCAAGGUCGGUGUACAGGUGGUGCAUGGUUGUCGUCAGCUCGUGUCGUGAGAUGUUGGGUUAAGUCCCGCAACGAGCGCAACCCUCGUCCCAUGUUGCCAGCGGGUUAUGCCGGGGACUCAUGGGAGACUGCCGGGGUCAACUCGGAGGAAGGUGGGGAUGACGUCAAAUCAUCAUGCCCCUUAUGUCUUGGGCUUCACGCAUGCUACAAUGGCCGGUACAAAGGGCUGCGAUACCGCGAGGUGGAGCGAAUCCCAAAAAGCCGGUCUCAGUUCGGAUUGGGGUCUGCAACUCGACCCCAUGAAGUCGGAGUCGCUAGUAAUCGCAGAUCAGCAACGCUGCGGUGAAUACGUUCCCGGGCCUUGUACACACCGCCCGUCAAGUCAUGAAAGUCGGUAU